RNAcentral lists this ribosomal RNA (102 nucleotides) under uncultured bacterium. RNAcentral's name for it is "partial 16S ribosomal RNA". It matches the Rfam family "Bacterial small subunit ribosomal RNA", at positions 390 to 509 of the family's 1533-position model. The record is from RNAcentral.
AGCGACGCCGCGUGAAGGAAGAAGUAUCUCGGUAUGUAAACUUCUAUCAGCAGGGAAGAUAGUGACGGUACCUGACUAAGAAGCCCCGGCUAACUACGUGCC